Molecule: ribosomal RNA, 289 nt
Filed under: uncultured Leptolinea sp.
Lineage: Bacteria; Bacillati; Chloroflexota; Anaerolineae; Anaerolineales; Anaerolineaceae
Description: partial 16S ribosomal RNA
Rfam family: Bacterial small subunit ribosomal RNA
Source: RNAcentral
UUAAGUCCGCUAACGAGCGCAACCCUCGCUGUGUGUUACAAGUGUCACACGGGUACUGCCGGUCUUAAGCCGGAGGAAGGUGGGGAUGACGUCAAGUCAGCAUGGCCUUUAUGUCCUGGGCUACACACACGCUACAAUGGCCAACACAAUAGGUUGCUAAGCCGCGAGGUGGAGCCAAUCCUCAAAGUUGGUCUCAGUUCAGAUUGCAGGCUGCAACCCGCCUGCAUGAAGAUGGAGUUGCUAGUAACCGCAGGUCAGCUAUACUGCGGUGAAUACGUUCCCGGGGCUU